Molecule: ribosomal RNA, 250 nt
Filed under: Musca domestica (house fly)
Lineage: Eukaryota; Metazoa; Arthropoda; Insecta; Diptera; Muscidae
Description: partial 16S ribosomal RNA
Source: RNAcentral
CUUCUAAAUUUAUAAUAGAAUUUUAUUUUUUAGUCAAAAAGCUAAAAUAAAUUUAAAAGACGAGAAGACCCUAUAAAUCUUUAUAUUUAGAUAAUUACAAUUUUUUGGAUUUUUUUUGUUGUGAUUGUUGAUAAUAUUUUAUUGGGGUGAUAUUAAAAUUUAAAAAACUUUUAAUUAAUUAAAUCAUUAAUUUAUGAAUAAUUGAUCCGUUAUUAACGAUUAAAAAUUUAAGUUACCUUAGGGAUAACAG